This 917-nucleotide long non-coding RNA is filed under the name Manihot esculenta (cassava). RNAcentral describes it as "long non-coding RNA (MESC_LNC009522)". The record is from RNAcentral. Lineage: Eukaryota; Viridiplantae; Streptophyta; Magnoliopsida; Malpighiales; Euphorbiaceae.
UUGUAGAAUAGGUUUGAUGCAUGUUUAGAAGGUUUGGAGGCGAAAUGUGCAAAAGGAACCAAGUUUAUGCCCUUUGGCAGAAACCAGGUUCGGCAGCCGAAGGACUUUCGGCCGCCGAACAUGGCUGGGGAGGCAAGCCUUUCGGCUGCCGAAGCCUGCCCCCGAAAGGAGACUUUCGUCUCUGCCUGGCAGUUUCGGCCGCCGAAAGUGCCGCCGAACAUGCAUGAGUUUCGUCUCUGUCUGGGAGUUUCAGCCGCCGAAGGUGCCGCUGAACCUGCCUGACUUUCGGCUCUGGAGGAACUUUCGGCCGCCGAACCUGCCGCCGAAAGUGCCCUGUCCAGCCUUCCUUUGCAUGUUCUUGCAUGGAUGUUUUGAGGUGUUUUAGAGGGUUUUUGGGGGAUGUUUUCAGAGUCAUGUUAUAGUAUGUUGGUCCCCCAUUUGAGUCCACCUGUGUAGGUUCGGACCCGAGGAACCGAGGACCUCAGCAGUGAGUCAGCUGCUUCAGUCAGUGUCAGAGCUAGCCAGAGGUGAGUGGAAUAACUCUUAUGCUUUUAAAUAAAUAAAUUAGUUUUGAGCAUGUUCAUGCAUCACGGAUGCCAUGUGAUAUUUUAGGUUGCUUGCAUUAGAAAUCACGAAUAUGUUGCAUUGCAUAAUAUGUUGUUGAUGUGGAUGAACGUUGAAUGAUCCAUUAGCCCUCAUAUGUUAUGACGUGAUGAUAUGAUAUGGAAGUCCAGGUGUGGCCUGCCCUACGCCCCUGGCACUAUGUAAGAGAAAGACCGGAUGUGGCCUGCACUACGCCCCCGGCACCAUUAGUUAUGUAUGUUAUGUUAUGUAUAAGAGAAAGACCAGGUGUGGCCUGCACUACGCCCCUGGCACGAUUGGAAUAUGUAGAGGGCUAAAUGGUGACAAGUUCAUCC